UUACCUUAAUUUGAAUCCCAUUCGCGAG
This 28-nucleotide small RNA is filed under the name Bombyx mori (domestic silkworm). RNAcentral's name for it is "ovarian small RNA-36496". Lineage: Eukaryota; Metazoa; Arthropoda; Insecta; Lepidoptera; Bombycidae. The record is from RNAcentral.